Molecule: ribosomal RNA, 497 nt
Filed under: uncultured bacterium
Lineage: Bacteria
Description: partial 16S ribosomal RNA
Rfam family: Bacterial small subunit ribosomal RNA
Source: RNAcentral
GAUGAACGCUGGCGGCGUGCCUAAUACAUGCCAGUCGAGCGAACAGACGGAGCGCUUGCUCCUCUGCCGUUACCGGCGGGCGGGUGAGUACCACGUGGCUACCCUACCUAUAAGGAUGGGAUAACUUCGGGAAACCGGAGCUCAUACACGAUCAUAUAUUGAAACGCAUGGUUCAUUGGACCACGCCGGAUUAGCUGACACUAAUAGAUGGAUCCGGGUCGCAUUAGCUAGUUGGUAGGGUAACGGCUUACCAAGGCAACGAUGCGUAGCCGACCUGAGAGGGUGAUCAGCCACACUGGAACUGAGACACGGUCCAGACUCCUACGGGAGGCAGCAGUGGGGAAUAUUCGGCAAUGGGCGAAAGCUUGACGCAGCAACGCCGCGUGAGUGAUGAAGGUCUUCGGAUUGUAAAACUCUGUUAUUAGGGAAGAAGAAAAGUGUAAUAAACCAUGCCCGUCUUGACGUUACCUAAACAGAAAGCCACGGCUAACUACGUG